RNAcentral lists this small nuclear RNA (54 nucleotides) under Sorex araneus (European shrew). The record is from RNAcentral. Lineage: Eukaryota; Metazoa; Chordata; Mammalia; Eulipotyphla; Soricidae.
GUGCUCGCAUUCAGCAGCACAUAUACUAAAAUUGGAACGAUACAGAGAAGAUUA